Molecule: ribosomal RNA, 253 nt
Filed under: uncultured bacterium
Lineage: Bacteria
Description: partial 16S ribosomal RNA
Rfam family: Bacterial small subunit ribosomal RNA
Source: RNAcentral
UACGGAGGGUGCAAGCGUUGUUCGGAAUUAUUGGGCGUAAAGGGCGCGUAGGCGGUCCUGUUAGUCGGGUGUGAAAGCCCCGGGCUCAACCUGGGAAGUGCAUUCGAGACUGCAGUGCUGGAGUACGGAAGAGGGGGGCGGAAUUCCUGGUGUAGGGGUGAAAUCCGUAGAUAUCAGGAGGAACAUCAGUGGCGAAGGCGGCCCUCUGGUCCAGUACUGACACUCAAGUGCGAAAGCGUGGGGAGCAAACAGG